RNAcentral lists this small RNA (1723 nucleotides) under Rattus norvegicus (Norway rat). Its description in RNAcentral is "uncharacterized LOC102552563". Lineage: Eukaryota; Metazoa; Chordata; Mammalia; Rodentia; Muridae. The record is from RNAcentral.
CUCUGCACUUUGAUUCGUUCUAUUUUAAACUGUCUUCAAUUUCCCUCCUGGGGAAAGGGAGGAGGGAGGCUGGGGAGGUGGCAGUGGUGUGCAGAGAAUCAGGGGACUCAGGAGCUGUUGGAAAACCUGAAGCCAGUUGGCAGAGCUGUGCUGAAUUCUUAGGAUAGGGACAGGACAUUUAAGGUGAAAGCCGGGAGCUCGAGGCCUGGUAAAGAAGAAGAGGGUGGUUAGUGUGGCCAGAGGAAGGGCGCUGAGAGACCUCUGCCUAGGAGUAGAAAAGAACUCUGUGGCCUUGGUGUCUUACGUGGUCAUGGGGAUAAGCUUUGAGAAUGCAGCCUGGCACUUGAAAGAGAGAUGGUCCUGUUUUCUUAAAACAGAGCCCAGAGGGAUAAACAGAGAAGGUACAACCUGAGACGUGCACCAGAGACCCACAGCCAGUAUCACGGGAAGCAUGUCUGCAGUUGGAUGGGAAUUCCCAGCAAGAAGGCCUGGUUCCCGGUGUGGGUCUUUUCCCAGAAACCCAUUGGCCUGUGCAGGGCAUACACUUGCCUCUGGUAGCCUCACUGGCCAAGUAUGAGCCGACAAGCUUUUCUUUAGGACUGAGAUCUCACGUUUCGGGCCCCAGCAAGGAUGGUAUCCAAAAGGAUCCUUUGGUGGUUGGAGAGAGACAGCUUAGAGUCUGCAGUCGACAUGGCUUCUAAUCAACCCAAAUGUGUGAGCAUCGUUCGUGUGUGUCUCAGAUUCUGUGAGGGAGAGAAUGACUUAUUUAGGAUGUAAGGAUGCUACGGAUGCUGAGGAGGGUCAUGGAGUAGCUUCGGACCUCGGAUGAGUUACCAGCCUGCCUGGUGGCAGACACAGCCUCACAGGAAGACUUGGGACACAUUGUUGUCUGGACUGAAGCUCAGGGAGGAUCAUCUUCGACCCGCACUACUGAGACCAGGACCCAGAGUCUCCCCUCAGCCACCACCUCGUCCUCCUUUNGUCUGGAGCUCAGUGUGUGUGUGUGUGUGUGUGUGUGUGUGUGUGUGUGUGUGUGUGUGUGCCUACCAAAUAUACAUGUGGUGUUCUGAUCUCUGGCCAAGCAUCGCAGGGAGAGACCUUAACCCUGCUCCACAGAAAUUUGACUCUACACAGCAUGGAUCAACACAAGACCCGGACGAGUGGCCCCUAAGAGCCAUCUAGAAAGCAUGUAUCUUUCCAGGGUUCUGUUCAAAGACUUGACAAAAACCAACUAAAGUAAUCUUAUAGCAAUCUCAUGGAUCUGGGAAUCUCCACUGUGCAAGAGAGAAGUCCCAGAAUGCCAAGUCACACAUCCAAGAACUGGGGUCUGUCUCAGGGACACGGCUGCCUACGCUCUAUUCUCUGGAGCUCCCCAUCCAAAAUGCUCUCAGACUCUGGCACCCCAUUGGCUCUUCUCUCGCUUUCUGGUCUUUGUUAUUGAAGUGGUGGGUCAUAGGAAUGGUGUGAUGACACCAGGCUAUCCAGGGACAUCUCUGACUAAAAGGAGGAGUCCACCCAAUGACAGCAGAAGUGGGUGUUAUCUCAGCCUUGUGUCUUAAGUGACUUUGGGGACAAUGAUGGGAGGGAAGGCUCAAAGCAGAAGUCUUGACCCACUUGAAACAUGAAUAGAACUGAAGAGCAGAGGCAGUGGGGGGAGGGAGGUGUCUGUCCCACCCUAGUAGAGAAAAAGAGUGUUUUGUGGGAGAGAGGGGAAAGAGGAGAG